RNAcentral lists this ribosomal RNA (492 nucleotides) under uncultured bacterium. Its description in RNAcentral is "partial 16S ribosomal RNA". It matches the Rfam family "Bacterial small subunit ribosomal RNA", at positions 29 to 507 of the family's 1533-position model. The record is from RNAcentral.
AGUGAACGCUGGCGGUAGGCCUAACACAUGCAAGUCGAACGGCAGCACAGUAAGAGCUUGCUCUUACGGGUGGCGAGUGGCGGACGGGUGAGGAAUACAUCGGAAUCUACUUUUUCGUGGGGGAUAACGUAGGGAAACUUACGCUAAUACCGCAUACUCCCUACGGGUGAAAGCAGGGGAUCUUCGGACCUUGCGCGAUUGAAUGAGCCGAUGUCGGAUUAGCUAGUUGGCGGGGUAAAGGCCCACCAAGGCGACGAUCCGUAGCUGGUCUGAGAGGAUGAUCAGCCACAAUGGAACUGAGGCACGGUCCAGAAUCCUACGGGAGGCAGCAGUGGGGAAUAUUAGACAAUGGGCGCAAGCCUGAUCCAGCCAUACCGCGUGGGUGAAGAAGGCCUUCGGGUUGUAAAGCCCUUUUGUUGGGAAAGAAAAGCAGCAGGUUAAUACCCCGCUGUUCUGACGGUACCCAAAGAAUAAGCACCGGCUAACUUCGUG